AGAACGAACGCUGGCGGCAGGCUUAACACAUGCAAGUCGAACGCGUGGAGCAAUCCACGAGUGGCGGACGGGUGAGUAACGCGUGGGAACCUGCCCUGGAGUGUGGGGAUAACCGAGGGAAACUUCGGCUAAUACCGCAUACGACCUGAGGGUGAAAGAUUUAUCGCUCUAGGAGGGGCCCGCGUCGGAUUAGCUAGUUGGUGGGGUAAAGGCCUACCAAGGCAGUGAUCCGUAGCUGGUCUGAGAGGAUGAUCAGCCACACUGGGACUGAGACACGGCCCAGACUCCUACGGGAGGCAGCAGUGGGGAAUAUUGGACAAUGGGGGGCAACCCUGAUCCAGCAAUGCCGCGUGAGUGAUGAAGGCCUUAGGGUUGUAAAGCUCUUUCGCGCGCGACGAUGAUGACGGUAGCGCGAGAAGAAGCCCGCUAACUCGUGCCAGCAGCCGC
RNAcentral lists this ribosomal RNA (447 nucleotides) under uncultured bacterium. RNAcentral's name for it is "SSU rRNA". It matches the Rfam family "Bacterial small subunit ribosomal RNA", at positions 26 to 518 of the family's 1533-position model. The record is from RNAcentral.